Carya illinoinensis is the source of this 1147-nucleotide RNA transcript. It is a transcript of the gene named eukaryotic translation initiation factor-like, with no coding region annotated. The record is from RefSeq and is a predicted model, not a curated record. Lineage: Eukaryota; Viridiplantae; Streptophyta; Magnoliopsida; Fagales; Juglandaceae. The transcript has 6 exons.
CCAGAAACCCAAUCGGUAUACAGACCUAAAAUCAAGUCGAGUCCAACAACAAACUCUUAAGCAGUGUGUAGAAGACAUUUUGGGUAGAGGCCGAGCGAGAGAGAUAAAUAGGAGAGGAUAAAUGGCGACCGACUUAGCGACCGACGUAGCGAUGGCGGCACAGACGGAGGCUGUGACGUUGGAGGAGACGGUGACGAAACAGCCGCACAGGUUGGAGAGGAAGUGGACGUUCUGGUUCGACAACCAAUCCAAGCCCAAGCAAGGCGCGGCCUGGGGCACCUCUCUCCGCAAACUCUACACCUUCGACACCGUCGAAGAGUUCUGGUGUUUGUAUGAUCAGAUAUUCAAGCCCAGCAAGUUCCCUGCAAAUGCAGAUUUUCACUUGUUCAAAGCUGGGACUGAACCUAAAUGGGAAGAUCCUGAGUGUGCUAAUGGAGGAAAGUGGUCCAUUCCCGCCAAUAAAAAGGCUACCCUUGAUAACAUGUGGCUAGAAACUUUGAUGGCCUUGAUUGGAGAGCAAUUUGAUGAUGCUGAUGAGAUCUGUGGUGUGGUUGCUAGCGUGCGCCAGAGGCAGGACAAACUUGCGUUAUGGACCAAGACAGCAGCAAAUGAAGCUGCCCAGGACAGUUCCUUUCUAUCUCCCUGUAAAUUGAGAAUGAGUAUUCUAUAUAACGUAAUGGUUGCCUUACCCGUGCAAGACUAGAUGGACACUGCACCUUCUUAAGAAUGAGCAUUGGGAGGAAGUGGAGGGAGAUCGUUGAUGUCACUGAUAAAAUGACUUACAGCUUCCAUGAUGAUUCUAAAAGGGAAAGAUCGGCCAAAGCUCGAUACAAUCUGUGAUUGUGCAAUUAAUUUGCUGUGCAAUUUUCUUCUCUCAGUUGUGGGAGUGAUGAAAGCCAAUGAAAUUGCUUUGAUGUUAUUUUUUUUUAGGAUUGUUGGUAUAUACUACCCAAAGUGAGCUGUGUUUGAGGGUCGAUAUCCCAUAUGGUUUUUCAUAUAUUGCUCCUUGUGAUUACUAUAUUCACUACUGGCUGUUUUGUCAUGCUAGAGCCGCAACUUGCGAACGAUAAUAGAAAUUGCGUUUUGCUCUCUUCCUCCUAUGAUUGCAAAAAGGAAAACCAAGAGAAAAGCUGAUAAUUCCUUUCUA